This 21-nucleotide microRNA is filed under the name Monodelphis domestica (gray short-tailed opossum). Its description in RNAcentral is "mdo-miR-12323-5p". Lineage: Eukaryota; Metazoa; Chordata; Mammalia; Didelphimorphia; Didelphidae. The record is from miRBase by way of RNAcentral.
AUGAAGGGGUUAGACUAGAUU